This is a long non-coding RNA of Macaca mulatta (Rhesus monkey), 2763 nucleotides long. NCBI's taxonomy places the organism in Eukaryota, Metazoa, Chordata, Mammalia, Primates, Cercopithecidae. The record is from Ensembl.
AUUGCGGCGACCGUGGAGACUUUUAAAAUAGAGGCCAACAUGACCGGGCAAGAAGAGCAGGGUCCUUCCUUCAGGUGUUUGGGACUCAACUGAGGGUGUGGGUGCCCCGCGGUGGGGGCUGAACCUUCCUGGGGUGUGGAGAGACGAAGGAGCCCAGAUCCAAGUUCCUUCGUUCCCGCUUUGGCACAAGUUGCCCGGGCGGUCUCAUGAGAGAGAGAGAGAGCUGGGACCCUCCUGGCCCCAGUGAGUGUGGUGUCUUGCUCCGGGUGUCCUGGGGCAACUUUCUAUAUAAAGGCGGGACGUGGGGAGGAUGAGACAGUUAACGUGAGACAAGGGUGUUGACUGUGCAGCGCAGAACCAGUAGUUUGUAGAGAAGAACCAGGUGUGAUGUUGAAUCUGCUAGACAGGCUACUGAAGCAAAAGUCAAGAGAUCCAGAUCCCAUCAUGGGGACACUUUAGAUUGAUACCGGAAAAGCCAUUUCCUAUUGAGCCCAAAAUGAAGAGAGUGCAAAUAAAGAGAAGGCAGGAAUCACAAGCCCUUGACAGACACAUUGCCACCUACAGGACCCUGCACCCAGAUUUCAUCUGCACAAUCAGCUUCUUCAAAGAGAGAGAGGCUGUCAAGUUAUUCAGUCACAUGAUUAUGGAUGGUCUCUUAGUUUUCUGCCACGGACAGCUAAUUGCUUCAUGGUAUGUGUUUUACACAUCACCCUCAGAGGGCCAGUUCAUCUCAAAGAGCCUUAAGAUUCCUCCCUCGGUCUCUGUGUAGUGAUGUUACUUCCCUACUGUCACUUUUAAAGCAAGCAAAACUCCUGACAAUGGGGAGAUGCUUUGUUUCCCAAACUGGGCAGAAUUCCACAAAUCACCCUUGUAUGAGGUUAGUUCCUCUAAUUCUUAAUAUUUCUCAGGUGGUGGCCUGAAGACUGAAGGUGUUUUGCUUUCAGGGGAAGGCAAGAGCCUGAGGGGAGGAGUGUGUGGAGGCAUUUCUGGUAUGCAGGACCAGCCUAAGCAUGCUGGUUGCCAUAGAAACCUACCAUCAUUAUGGCAACCAUGACACUUUUUAUCUUUUUUUCUUUUUUAAUUUUUUAAAAUUUCAAUAGUUUUUGUGGAACAGGUGUUUUUUGGUUACAUGGAUGAGUUAUUUAUUGGUGAAUUCUGAGAUUUUGGUGCACCUGUCAUCUCAGCAGUAUAUACUGUACCCAAUAUAUUGUCUUUUAUCCCUCACUACCCUCACAAUAUCCCCCUCCCCAAGUCCCCACAGUCCAUUAUAUCACUCUAUAGAGUGAUUUUUGCAUCCUCAUAGCUUAGCUCCCACUUAUAAGUGAGAACAUAUGGUAUUUGGUUUUCCAUUCCUGAGUUAUUUCCCUUAGAAUAAUGGCCUCCAGUUCCAUCCAAGUUGUUGCAAAAGACAUUAUUUCAUUCCUUUUUAUGGCUGAAUAGUAUUCUGUGGUGUAUAUAUAUGCCACAUUUUCUUUAUCCACUCUUUGGUUGAUGAGCACUUUGGUUGGGUUCUAUAUCCUUGUAAUUGCGAAUUGUGCUGCUAUAGACGUGCAUGUGCAUGUGUUUUUUUCAUGUAAUUACUUCUUUUCCUUUGGGUAUGUAGUAGUGGGAUUGCUAGAUCGAAUGGUAAAUCUACUUUUAGUUCCUUAAGGAAUCUCCGUACUGUUUUCAAUAGUGGUUGUACUAAUUUACAUUCCCAGCAGCAAUGUAAAAGUGCUCCGUUUUCACCACAUCCAUGCCAACAUCGAUUGUUUUUUGACUUUUUAAUUAUGGACAUUCUUGCAGGCAUAAGGUGGUAUCUCAUUGUGGUUUUAAUUUGCAUUUCCCUGAUGAUUAGUGAUAUUGAGCAUUUUUUCAUUAUUUUUGUUGGCUGUUUGUAUAUCUUCUUUUGAGAAAUGUCUAUUCAUGUCCUUUGCCUACUUUUUGAUGGGAUUAUUUCUUUUUUCUUGCUGAUUUGAGUUUCUUGUAUAUUCUGGAUAUCAGUCCUUUGUUGGAUGCAUAGUUUGAAAGUAUUUUCUCCCACUCUGUGGGUUGUCUGUUUACUCUGCUGAAUAUUUUUUUUUUUUAGCUGUGCAGAAGCUUUUUGAUUAGGUCCCAUUUAUUUAUUUUUGUUUUUGUUGCAUUUGCUUUUGGGGUCUUAGUUACAAAUUCUUUGCCUAAGCCAAUGUCCACAGGAGUUUCUCUGAUGUUAUCUUCCAGAAUUUUUAUGGCUUCAGGUCUUAGAUUUAAGUGUUUGAUGCAUCUUAAGUUGACUUUUGUAUAAUGUGAGAGACGGGGAUCCAGUUUCAUUCUUCUUCAUGUGGCUAGCCAGUUUUCCCAGCACCAUUUAUUGAAUAGGGGGUCCUUUCCUCAAUUUAUGUUUUAGUAUGCUUUGUCAAAGAUCAGUUCGCUAUAAGUAUUUGGCUUUAUUUCUGGGUUCUCCAUUCUUUUCCAUUGGUUUAAGUGCCUAUUUUUAUACCAGUGCCAUGCUGUUUUGGUAGCUAUAGCCUUGUAGUAUAAUUUGACGUCUGGUAAUGUGAUGCUUCCAGAUUUGUUCUUUCUGCUUAGAAUUAUUUUGACUAUGUGGGCUGGGCAGGUUUUUUGUUUGUUUGUUUGUUUUGUUUUUUUGUUUUUUUGAGAUGGAGUCUCACUUUGUUGCCCAGGCAGGAGUGCAAUGGCAAAAUCUCCACUCAGCACAAUCUCCGCCUCCCAGUUUCAAGUAAUUCUCCUGCCUCAGCCUCCCAAGUAGCCGGGAUUACAGGUGCCCACCACCAGGCCCAGUUA